Molecule: long non-coding RNA, 6085 nt
Organism: Scophthalmus maximus (turbot)
Lineage: Eukaryota; Metazoa; Chordata; Actinopteri; Pleuronectiformes; Scophthalmidae
Exons: 3
Source: RefSeq, a predicted model, not a curated record
GCGGAUGGCGCGCGCAGGAGCAAACGGCGACGCCUGGUGGACGAUGGGGGGAAGCGCGCUCAGGAGCAAACGGCGACGCCUGGUGGACGAUGGGGGGAAGCGCGCGCAGGAGCAAACGGCGACGCCUGGUGGACGAUGGGGGGAAGCGCGCGCAGGAGCAAAAGGCGACGCCUGGUGGACGAUGGGGGGAAGCGCGCUCAGGAGCAAACGGCGACGCCUGGUGGACGAUGGGGGGAAGCGCGCGCAGGAGCAAACGGCGACGCCUGGUGGACGAUGGGGGGAAGCGCGCGCGACUGUGAUGGAUCGAGACUGAAACGUCCCGCUGCUCUUCUCCCCUAAUCUCCUCCUUGCUGAUUGGCUGGCGGUGAAGUGGCGGUUUCUCUUUUCGGCUGACGUCCCUACAGAGCUCGGCACCAGUGGACCCUAGCCCCUUGGAAAACAACUGGCGCUUUAAGCUUGGACAGAUAGCAGACAGAGGGAUGGCGGUUUGAGAGGAGGAGAAUGCCGCAGAGGGUUGGAAUCCGCACACGCACACAUACACUCACUCACGCACACGCGCGCGCACACACACACACACACACACAUACACUCACGCACACGCUUACUCACACGUUCAUCCACAUGCAAAAGAUGCAUAAGCAUGCAAAGACACAUACAGAGAAAAAAAAAUAUUUCACACACACACACACACACACACACACACACACGUGCACAAACAGUGUAUAUCUCCCACGGGAGCUGUGAUGAUAGAGAUGGAGCGCAGUGUGUAUUGACUGUGACUGUGACACAAAGCUGCAUCCAGCACAAGAACCUCAGAGGAAAAAGGCUCCGCUUCAAAAACAAGACCUCCAGUCUGCGGCUUCCGACGCUCUCUCAUUACAUUUUGUGAACUGAACACAAACUCUCGAGAGAUGCUUCCAUGCUUUGGACAGACAUAAGGGGCCGAUUAAAUCUGUCAGAUUAUGUGACGACAACACAAAUUACACAUCACGGUUUAUCUUAUGAUUAAAGGUUUCCUAUGUGUAUCAAAUGUCAAGGAAGGGAAGUCAAAUCAUGUUCACGGCAUCAUUUCAGUGCCAGAGACGGUAUAGAGCAUAUCUCUACGAAAAAAUUAAAUGCAUAAUAAUGUCAAGUAAUACUUACUGAGACAUUUGUGUUCUCACAUAUAGCUCCUUUUUAAAAAUUCUGCAAAAGGUCCAGACUUCAGUGCAUGUCUGGAAGCAGCUUUUUAUCCUUCUAUCUGUAAGUCUGUCCCUCUGCUUGUCUCUUACAGUAGCACAUUAUGUUACUAUAAGUCCUCAUAUUGAGUUUGCAAGCAAAUCCAACUAUUAAUUAGAAUCAGCCUUAUUUCAUAUUUCUGUGCCCGCAGGAUCCUGUAAACAUAAUUGUUUUGGCUCUAAUGGCCUUUUGUUGCACCAGCUACUCCCGCUCCUUGGUUGGGGUGUCGUGUCUCCAUGGUGGGUGGUGGAGCCUUUGCACGUGGCGAUCUCCUGUUCCAGAUUUGAGGAGGGUGAAAACAUGCGGCUGGCGCCACAACGGUAACAUAUCUCAGCCUGUACUCUCUGCAAGCCAACAGUUGGACUGGACCAGUCAAGUCAGAAGGGUUAUUUAUAGCAGUUAUCUGAGAAUGCAUCACACAUACUGUAUGCUGUAUUGUAUGCAAGUAGAAAAUACAAGUCCAACACAGACACAGAAACACACGGUGUUUCAAAUUCAGGCAGGAAUAAACAAAAGAUAGUUGGCUGGUUAACUGUGAAUCACGUGUGCAGCCUAGUCAUGUUGAGCCAAUCGACACACUGUAUAGAUAAUUUCUUUACUUCUUUGCUUCUGUUAGGGUUAGGGUUAGUUUAAUUAAAAGACGCAGUCCUCCAAUGUAUUUAUACACUGCACAUCGCAACAUGCACACACUGCAGGUGGGGAAACUCAAAGCUUGACAGGCCUGCUGUGCCUAGUUACUUUUGCUUUAAUUGGGAAAUCACUGUGUUUAAAGUGACUAAUAAUGACAUGCAUCAUAAUUACUUGUAAAGAGCAUGUCCUGCAGGCUCAUAUGAAAGCAAAUGAUAUCAGCGGUGAAGAAAAUUGCUAUUAGUUACAUACUGGAAUCAUUCGGCAGGUGUUUGACAACAUUUUUAUAGCCCUGGCAGCGUCUCAAACUUCCACUACUGCACCACGAAUGGUUGAGCCAACAGAUGUUCCUCAUAAUUUGCAGCAUUUAGUGCUCCUGUUUUGAGAUGCAACAUUGGUAAUUAUGAUGCAGUUGCUGACAGACGAAAACAUCACGUCUCAGCCAUGGAUGUAUACAUUUUAUGGUACUUUGCAGGUUCUGCUGUGAAAUAUUUCAUCCUCUGCAUCUGGCAUAUUGUCAACUGUAACAGUAAAUCAGACAAUUAUAACAACACAAAUAAUGCUAGUAUAUGAUCUGAUCAGUUAAAGAAAAUAAUCUUAGAUUAAGUCUGCUUAAUGGCUGUUUUAUGGUUUGUUCAAUGUGUGAAACAAGGACGUAUUUACACUGUUUUGGAACCAGCACCAAGUCACCACCACAUGCUGUGCUGUAAUUUUGGCGAUAUUCACUUGUAAAAAUAUCACCCGGAGAGAAAGUUAAAAGCUCAUUCACGUCUGUCUGCUGCUGUGUGGUCGGUUGAAUGAAUUGCAUAGCUGUGCAUGCAGGGGAAAAGCAAACAAAUGCUCUGUUAGUGUAACAGAAUCUGUUUGCAUCAGCAUCAAAGAAAGAGAACCUUCCAACGUGUACCUGACUGUCAGUCCGUCAGUGUUCCUGACAAAAAACACCACCCCACAACUUUGCCAACACAUAUGUAUUAACCAAAUCCUGAAUCACAAUAUGUCAGCCUCUUUAGACUUUUUAUUUGUCAGACUGUAAAAUCCAGGAUACUUUUUGUCAACAUUUUAGCCUCAAAUACAGUCAUUGUGUCAGAAAACAGACAAUUUUAAACAGAUAAAAGCCCAAUGAGCUGCAGUGUCCUGCUCACCAAACAAACUUCUGUAUUUGCUAAAAUUUUCACAUGCUGCAUGUUGCGUUCCUUUGCUCAAAGUGCCUCCCAAGUAACACAAGACCUAAGAUACCUUGCAAUUUAGUUUGGUUGGCCCCAGUGCGAAUCAAGUCCCCUUACUCUGGCAAAAUGUAAUGCCGCACUCUUUCCCUAGAGGAUUACAGGACCAUGUUUUAAAGCAAGAACAAAAAAUUGGAAUGGCCUCAAGGCGCACUGGGAGGCACGUUGGGGGAAUUAAGCAAAUGAGAAAGAUAUUCUGUCCGUUCCCUAGGGUGAUGGAUGAGAGAUGAGUGUUGGGAUAACAAGGGAUCAGAGGCGAGAGGAAGAAUAAUGAGGAUCUGCCCCGACUAUCCCACUCAUCCCUCCACCCAUCUACACAUCCAGUGGCUCCGCUAAUGUUGCUUUAACUUCCUUCACUUGAACUACGAUAUAAAAACGUUUCUCUUCUUCGAUGAUUACAGUAGGAAAUUCUUGUUGUUCUCAUGACCCUUGUCAAAAAGCUUAAGACCCCUAGUGCGAACAGAGCAGGCAUCGAUGACAACAACCACUGAUCAAGUCAGAUACAGUAUGAAAAGGAAGGUGCUGGGGUGGAGUAGGGUUGCGAAGUGGCGUGCAGUAAAUAAAGAAGAGUAGGCAGGUUAAAGCAUCUUAGAUAGAGCGAGCAAUGUGAGCUUGUGUAAGGGAGGAGGGGGGCUGGCAUAGACAUCUCUACUGUCAGCUGAUGUGCUGCACAGUGGCUGAGCUUGACUUCAUGGCCUGCCUGAACUGAUGCUAUACUCAGUUAUGUGGAUCGAUAUUUGCAGUUUAUGUCUACCUGCAAACUAGUUGCUCUGAAAUUAUCUAUGAGUGACGAAAUACGAAAAUGUUCCAAUGUUCAGAUUCAGCCACGCACAUCAGUAAAUUCGAUUGCAAGUGGCCACUUUCCUCAGCCCCUGCAGUGAACCUCUUGGGCCCCCUUCCUCUUCAAAUUGUCCACAAGAAUAGAUUCCAUAAAAAAAAAGAGAAGCUUUUUAGACUUCAAGGAUACACACAACACUUGUUGAAUGAAGACUACUGUAUAACUUUCGUGAGUUUACCAGAAAGCGCCACAAACAGCGAUGUUUGGCUUCCCCCUGCUUCCCCUCUGACUCUGACUGCGUCCAGCAUGACUGAUGAUGGGUGUGGUCAAAAGUUUAACUGGUCAGCGUCAUACCGGGUGCUAUAGUUGUUGGGGAACGUUGACAUGGACGACUCACAAACAUCCAACAGCAAGAGCAGAAAGCUUGGAGCAGAAGCUGCGCGAGUGCACAGAAGCAGCCUGACCGCGAGGGGAAAGACUCAAUCUGAAGCACGGGACAUUUGUGCAGCAGCAGUAUAUCUGAGGGCAGACACCGUUUGGAGCAAGAGAAGCAAAUAUGCACACGCGCAGGGGGUCAUUGAGAGAGCAGGCAGGGUAUUGAGGGAAAGCGUUCCGAAAUCUGAACGUGAAAUGAGGAAACCAUGCUCUCAAAAUGAAAGAUCACACUCUUGAAUAAAGAUGCAAAGAAACAGGCCGGCAGGUUGUUGGAAACCUUUAGAGAAAGUGUCCCUGGAAAUCCUGACGGUUGCGGUGGUGAUGGGGGAGGAGGGGGGUUGCAAGAUGGACACAAUUGCAAGAUAUUCAAAGAACGGCAUCCACCGAUUGAUCGGCUUGAGCGACGCAGGCACGAAGAUCAUUGGUCAGACAUGGUGACGGGGAUCUGACAGUGUGGGAAAAGUGAAAGUGAUGGAGAUAAAAUGGAGCAAGAGUGUAUAUUCAACUUUAAUGUGAGAGAGGAGAUCUUCCUUAAUGAAGAUCUUCCUAAGCUUCCAAAAAUUACUGUUUCUUGUUUUGGAGAUACAUUCUGAUAAACAUUUGCCAACCGCAAUAGAAACUGUACAUGUUUCCCGUGAUUCCUUCACAAUAAAACCCACUCUGUAUUUAGCAGCAGGAGGAUAUGUUGUUUUUUUAAAUACAUGCUUUGUUUCCUCUGAAUCUGCGUGUGAAUGGAAUCUGAAUCUUAAACAGGAAUGGCAGAGCCCACCGCUCACAAUAAAAAAUGAUAAUUACAAAAUCUAGAUGUAUUGAAUUUGGCCAGAUGGCUCAAAAGUGCCGGCGGGGUUGUUGCACAAAGGAUUGUGACGUAGGUAAGUUUGUCAUCUUUUCUUCUCCUCUCCUCUCGUACAGUACAUGACUGCUCCCUGACUCUUACACAUCUUUGAAGGUAGAAAACAACUCACAUGGGUGACGUGGUGUUCACUUCAAUUCGUGUCUUACUCCCCCACACCCCCAGCUUUGAUGCUUUGAUAAGGCGUUGCAGUAACACCACUGUCGGUAGGUAGAUAUUAGAUACUCCUCUCAGCACUAGUCCUUGGUUUGCUAAAGUUUGUUGUUAUUUUCAGAGAGCUUGGUUUGUUCAUUGGUCAUUUUACGCUUGUUCCAAAUAUUCAAUGUGUGGAGAUAUUGUAGGCAUUGAAUACACUGACACAGACUAGAUGCCCAACUGGAGUUUCUUAACAGUGCAAAUCUCAGAGCGAAGAUCCCUCUCUUUUGUGCCGUUCAAAUGAAAUAUAUCGUCUCGACUCUCAUCUGUGAUUCUGCGGCAGGCACAACCUCUGGCAGACCAGACAUUCCUCACCUCUCAACGAUCGCGGCUCUCACAUUGAGCACGUCAACAUGUCUUCCUCUCCUUCACUUUUUCAAAUCUCAAACAGAAUUAUUCAGUCAUCGCCCGUGGCUAUGAAGACAAAGCAAGAAGCAGAAGGAGAGACAGAGAGAGAGAGAGAGACUAUAGCAGAGACUCAGAGAGAGAGAGAGAACGGCUGUUUUUACUACGUAACUUAAAUCCUUUUUUAAAUCAACAGUGCUGAUUUGUGAUGGUGUUAUAUGUUUUACCUAGAUGAAAUAAUUGGAAAGAGGAGUGUUUGAUAUUCAGAAUUCUCUCUUCUCUUUCUUUCAUGUCUUUCUCUGGGCAUUGACGCUCUCUCUCUGUCCUCCUGUCACACUGUCUGGUUGUACUUACCCCCCCUCCCCCUCUUCUUCACUCAAUCAUCCUAAAAGUAGGGAUUGGGUAAUUUAA